Non-coding RNA from Solanum tuberosum (potato), 70 nucleotides. The record is from Rfam. Lineage: Eukaryota; Viridiplantae; Streptophyta; Magnoliopsida; Solanales; Solanaceae.
UGAGAUGAUGAUCGCACUGGGCUCUGAAUGUUUUGAUGGACAAUGCAGCCUAGAAAGCUAUGUCUGAUCA